RNAcentral lists this unclassified non-coding RNA (322 nucleotides) under uncultured fungus. Its description in RNAcentral is "partial contains small subunit ribosomal RNA, internal transcribed spacer 1, and 5.8S ribosomal RNA". The stretch from base 1 to 73 matches the Rfam family "Eukaryotic small subunit ribosomal RNA", at positions 1759 to 1831 of the family's 1831-position model. The record is from RNAcentral. Lineage: Eukaryota; Fungi.
ACAAACUUGGUCAUUUAGAGGAAGUAAAAGUCGUAACAAGGUCUCCGUUGGUGAACCAGCGGAGGGAUCAUUACCGAGUCUUCGUACUCAAAACAACCCUUCUGUGGACCUGAAUAAAACCGUUGCCUCGGCAGGCGGCCCUACCUACGGGCCAGAUAGCUCGGCUGCCUCUAGGGAGAAAACCUCUCUGGGGCGCUGGCGCCAGCCGCUGGCCCCAAACCAAAACUCUAGUAACUUUUACCUUCUGAGUUUUAAUGCAAGAAAUAAAGUCAAAACUUUCAACAACGGAUCUCUUGGCUCUGGCAUCGAUGAAGAACGCAGC